GACGAACGCUGGUGGCGUGCUUAACACAUGCAAGUCGAACGGAAAGGCCCUGCUUUUGUGGGGUGCUCGAGUGGCGAACGGGUGAGUAACACGUGAGUAACCUGCCCUUGACUUUGGGAUAACUUCAGGAAACUGGGGCUAAUACCGGAUAGGAGCUCCUGCUGCAUGGUGGGGGUUGGAAAGUUUCGGCGGUUGGGGAUGGACUCGCGGCUUAUCAGCUUGUUGGUGGGGUAGUGGCUUACCAAGGCUUUGACGGGUAGCCGGCCUGAGAGGGUGACCGGCCACAUUGGGACUGAGAUACGGCCCAGACGCCUACGGGAGGCAGCAGUGGGGAAUAUUGCACAAUGGGCGGAAGCCUGAUGCAGCAACGCCGCGUGCGGGAUGACGGCCUUCGGGUUGUAAACCGCUUUCGCCUGUGACGAAGCGUGAGUGACGGUAAUGGGUAAAGAAGCACCGGCUAACUACGCG
Molecule: ribosomal RNA, 468 nt
Filed under: uncultured bacterium
Lineage: Bacteria
Description: partial 16S ribosomal RNA
Rfam family: Bacterial small subunit ribosomal RNA
Source: RNAcentral